This 74-nucleotide transfer RNA is filed under the name Chlorobiota bacterium. RNAcentral's name for it is "tRNA-Arg". It matches the Rfam family "tRNA". Rfam says of the family: Transfer RNA (tRNA) molecules are approximately 80 nucleotides in length. Their secondary structure includes four short double-helical elements and three loops (D, anti-codon, and T loops). Further hydrogen bonds mediate the characteristic L-shaped molecular structure. tRNAs have two regions of fundamental functional importance: the anti-codon, which is responsible for specific mRNA codon recognition, and the 3' end, to which the tRNAs corresponding amino acid is attached (by aminoacyl-tRNA synthetases). tRNAs cope with the degeneracy of the genetic code in two manners: having more than one tRNA (with a specific anti-codon) for a particular amino acid; and 'wobble' base-pairing, i.e. permitting non-standard base-pairing at the 3rd anti-codon position. Lineage: Bacteria; Pseudomonadati; Chlorobiota. The record is from RNAcentral.
GGCUCCGUAGCUUAAUUGGAUAGAGCACCUGACUACGGAUCAGGAGGUUACAGGUUCGAGUCCUGUCGGAGUCA